This is a long non-coding RNA of Triplophysa dalaica, 423 nucleotides long. RefSeq lists it as uncharacterized. The record is from RefSeq and is a predicted model, not a curated record. The transcript has 3 exons. NCBI's taxonomy places the organism in Eukaryota, Metazoa, Chordata, Actinopteri, Cypriniformes, Nemacheilidae.
CCAGCGGUGGUGGAGAACCUGGAGGUCACCUCCUCUUCAAGCCAACCUUCAGAGUUGGCCUAGAAACAGGGCCAAUUCCUUGCACACCGGCUCAGCUACAUGGCCUAUUGCUUUUGGAAAACAUAAAACACCAGGUGGCCCAACUCGCCACCAUUGUGAACCUGCUCAUGGCCAAGGUCAAUAACGGCCUCCAGCCAGCAGCCUUUGAGUGGUCAGAGGAAUUUCAAUUCCCCCUGGAAUCAGAUGCAGAGCUGGACCGCUUUGAGGCCUGGCUGGUGGACCCUGCCAAUGAUAGGCAGAAACAUGCCCUUGUGAAUACCAUGUCUGCUGUCGGGGGUUUUGAUUUGAAGAGGGUGACAUGGAACAUAUUGUCAUACCUGUUUUCCUGCCCCCUUUCCCGAACAAUUAAUUGGAAGGCUGUUU